AAGGUCACAGUUGUGUCAUGGGCCAUGCUAUGAGCAGGUGUUCUGGGAGGGUGGUGAAACUCAUGGUGAGUGGUGCACUGUGGGUAGGAGGGACUGAAGGUAGAGUCACAUCACAUGGAGGUGGGUUGGCUAAGGAAGUUGGGAGGUUGUGUUGGUUGGGCCAGGAGGUGGGUGUGAUUUUCCUUCCCACUCUCUCCUAGAUCACACGCCGCUAUGCAGAGUUCUCCUCCGCUCUUGUCAGUAUCAACCAGACAAUUCCUAAUGAACGGACCAUGCAAUUGCUGGGACAGCUGCAGGUGGAGGUGGAGAAUUUUGUCCUCCGAGUGGCAGCUGAGUUCUCCUCAAGGAAGGAGCAGCUUGUGUUUCUGAUCAACAACUAUGACAUGAUGCUGGGUGUGCUGAUGGAGCGGGCUGCAGAUGACAGCAAAGAGGUUGAGAGCUUCCAGCAGCUGCUCAAUGCUCGGACACAGGAAUUCAUUGAAGAGUUGCUGUCUCCCCCUUUUGGGGGUUUAGUGGCAUUUGUGAAGGAGGCUGAGGCUUUGAUUGAGCGUGGACAGGCUGAGCGACUUCGAGGGGAAGAAGCCCGGGUAACUCAGCUGAUCCGUGGCUUUGGUAGUUCCUGGAAAUCAUCAGUGGAAUCUCUGAGUCAGGAUGUAAUGCGGAGUUUCACCAACUUCAGAAAUGGCACCAGUAUCAUUCAGGGAGCGCUGACCCAGCUGAUCCAGCUCUAUCAUCGCUUCCACCGGGUGCUGUCCCAGCCGCAGCUCCGAGCCCUCCCUGCCCGGGCUGAGCUCAUCAACAUUCACCACCUUAUGGUGGAGCUCAAGAAGCAUAAGCCCAACUUCUGAUGUGCCAGAAACCGCCCUGAGAUCUGCCGG
RNAcentral lists this unclassified non-coding RNA (878 nucleotides) under Homo sapiens (human). Its description in RNAcentral is "VPS52 subunit of GARP complex (ENSG00000224455.9, ENSG00000236014.10)". The record is from RNAcentral. Lineage: Eukaryota; Metazoa; Chordata; Mammalia; Primates; Hominidae.